CCUACGGGGGGCAGCAGUGGGGAAUAUUGGACAAUGGGGGGAACCCUGAUCCAGCCAUGCCGCGUGUGUGAAGAAGGCCCUCGGGUUGUAAAGCACUUUCAGUGAGGAAGAACGCCUGGUGGUUAAUACCCAUCAGGAAAGACAUCACUCACAGAAGAAGCACCGGCUAACUCCGUGCCAGCAGCCGCGGUAAUACGGAGGGUGUGAGCGUUAAUCGGAAUUACUGGGCGUAAAGCGCGCGUAGGUGGCUUGAUAAGCCGGUUGUGAAAGCCCCGGGCUCAACCUGGGAACGGCAUCCGGAACUGUCAAGCUAGAGUGCAGGAGAGGAAGGUAGAAUUCCCGGUGUAGCGGUGAAAUGCGUAGAGAUCGGGAGGAAUACCAGUGGCGAAGGCGGCCUUCUGGACUGACACUGACACUGAGGUGCGAAAGCGUGGGUAGCAAACAGGAUUAGAUACCCCAGUAGUC
RNAcentral lists this ribosomal RNA (465 nucleotides) under Vreelandella stevensii. RNAcentral's name for it is "partial 16S ribosomal RNA". It matches the Rfam family "Bacterial small subunit ribosomal RNA", at positions 338 to 795 of the family's 1533-position model. The record is from RNAcentral. Lineage: Bacteria; Pseudomonadati; Pseudomonadota; Gammaproteobacteria; Oceanospirillales; Halomonadaceae.